CCUACGGGAGGCAGCAGUGGGGAAUAUUGCACAAUGGGCGCAAGCCUGAUGCAGCAACGCCGCGUGAGGGAUGACGGCCUCCGGGUUGUAAAUCUCUUUUAGCAGGGAAGAAGCGAAAGUGACGGUACCUGCAGAAAAAGCGCCGGCUAACUACGUGCCAGCAGCCGCGGUAAU
This 174-nucleotide ribosomal RNA is filed under the name uncultured Microbacterium sp. RNAcentral describes it as "partial 16S ribosomal RNA". It matches the Rfam family "Bacterial small subunit ribosomal RNA", at positions 338 to 524 of the family's 1533-position model. Lineage: Bacteria; Bacillati; Actinomycetota; Actinomycetes; Micrococcales; Microbacteriaceae. The record is from RNAcentral.